UUGGAGGGCAAGUCUGGUGCCAGCAGCCGCGGUAAUUCCAGCUCCAAUAGCGUAUAUUAAAGUUGUUGCAGUUAAAAAGCUCGUAGUUGAAUUUCGGGAUUUAUCCGUCGGUCGGGCUUUUGGGUCUGUACUGGCGUGAUGGAUUCCUACCUUCUGAAUAACCGGCAUGUCAUUAAUUUGGUGCGCCGGGGAAGCAGGACUGUUACCUUGAAAAAAUUAGAGUGCUUAAAGCAGGCUUAUGCCUGAAUACAUUAGCAUGGAAUAAUGAAAUAGGACGGCAUGGUUCUAUUUUGUUGGUUUCUAGGAUCACCGUAAUGAUUAAUAGGGAUAGUUGGGGGCAUUAGUAUUCAAUUGUCAGAGGUGAAAUUCUUGGAUUUAUUGAAGACUUACUUCUGCGAAAGCAUUUGCCAAGGAUGUUUUCAUUAAUCAAGAACGAAAGUUAGGGGAUCGAAGACGAUCAGAUACCGUCGUAGUCUUAACCAUAAACUAUGCCGACUAGGGAUCGGACGAUGUUAAUUUUUUAAUGACUCGUUCGGCGCCUUACGGGAAAC
Molecule: ribosomal RNA, 551 nt
Filed under: uncultured Acaulospora
Lineage: Eukaryota; Fungi; Glomeromycota; Glomeromycetes; Diversisporales; Acaulosporaceae
Description: SSU rRNA
Rfam family: Eukaryotic small subunit ribosomal RNA
Source: RNAcentral